UACGUAGGGGGCAAGCGUUAUCCGGAUUUACUGGGUGUAAAGGGAGCGUAGACGGAAGAGCAAGUCUGAUGUGAAAGGCAGGGGCCCAACCCCUGGACUGCAUUGGAAACUGCCCAUCUUGAGUGCCGGAGGGGUAAGCGGAAUUCCUAGUGUAGCGGUGAAAUGCGUAGAUAUUAGGAGGAACACCAGUGGCGAAGGCGGCUUACUGGACGGUAACUGACGUUGAGGCUCGAAAGCGUGGGGAGCAAACAGG
This 253-nucleotide ribosomal RNA is filed under the name uncultured bacterium. RNAcentral describes it as "partial 16S ribosomal RNA". It matches the Rfam family "Bacterial small subunit ribosomal RNA", at positions 524 to 776 of the family's 1533-position model. The record is from RNAcentral.